This 403-nucleotide ribosomal RNA is filed under the name uncultured eukaryote. RNAcentral's name for it is "partial small subunit ribosomal RNA". It matches the Rfam family "Eukaryotic small subunit ribosomal RNA", at positions 30 to 432 of the family's 1831-position model. The record is from RNAcentral.
GCUUGUCUCAAAGAUUAAGCCAUGCAUGUCUAAGUAUAAGCACCCUUAUACGUCGAAACUGCGUACAGCUCAUUAUAUCAGCAAUUAUUUAUUUGAAGGUCACUAAUUACAUGGAUAACCGUGGUAAUUCUAGAGCUAAUACAUGCGAAAAAUCCCGGCGCAAGUCGGGAUGUAUUUAUUAGAUAAAAAACUAAUACAGGUUCUACCUGUUCUUUUGGUGAAUCAUAAUAACUGUUCGAAUCGCAAAGCGCAAGCUGGCGAUAGUUCAUUCAAAUUUCUGCCCUAUCAGCUUUCGACGGUAGUGUAGUGGACUACCGUGGCGUUAACGGGUAACGGAGAAUUAGGGUUCGAUUCCGGAGAGGGAGCCUGAGAAAUGGCUACCACAUCCAAGGAAGGCAGCAGG